Molecule: long non-coding RNA, 1510 nt
Filed under: Junco hyemalis (dark-eyed junco)
Lineage: Eukaryota; Metazoa; Chordata; Aves; Passeriformes; Passerellidae
Description: lncRNA (ENSJHYG00000005762.1)
Source: RNAcentral
AGCGCAGGGAAGGGCAGAGGUUGGAGGAGCCAGUCCAACCAGUCAGAGCCCAGUUGUGCCUCCCAGUUGUGCUCACUCAGCACCUGGGGCUGUUCCCAGCCACACAAACCCGGCGUGAGCAGAGCUCAGCACUGCCCAGGGCCUGCACACUGCCAGGGGCUCACACACCAUCAGCCUCGGGGUCACAGCGAUCCACAGGCCAUGGAAAUGUCCUGCAGGCCCCAGGCUGAGCUUCCUGCAGCAGCGCAGAGGGCUGGGCUGGGUGCGGGUGCUGGAUCACCCCAGUCACAGAAUCGGCGCCCAAACCCCGCAGAUCAGCAGCAGCAGGGCCACAGAGCAGCCCCCACAGGGCCCUGGAUCGCAGCUGUGCCCUGCAGGGACCCAGAGCCUCCUUCCCCCGGGCAGGGCAGGGCACCCAUCUCCCUCGGGUUUAUUGCAGCUCCCUGCGGUCGCACUAAGCAGCUUUGGGGCACCGAGAUCCAGCGACAGCACAACACGUGGACAGCGCGGCCAGGAAACCCUUGUGGAAGCCUUGGGAACGUAAAUACUCGGUCUAAUCCUCGCAGGGGAUGAGGAGCCGGGGCUGCUGCAGCCGCCAGGGCUCAGCAGAAGCUGCCGGGGCGGGCGGAAGGAAGGAGGGGAGGGAGCUGAGCUGAGCCUCGGCUCAGGUGCAGGCGUGGAGAGCGCCUGACCGCAGAGCCGAGCGCUUCCUCCCCCUCACACCCAGCCCAGAGCGCGGCGGGGCUCGGCCCGGAGCGCCCCUGGCACGCGGGGCUGUGGUGGGCACCGGGCACCGGGCACCGGCAGCGGCCGGAGCCGCCCGAUCCCGGCCAGCAGCACUCACAGCUCUGGGACUGCGCAGCCUGUCCCCAGCAAAGCUGCCCAACCCAAGCCGGAGGAGCUGGGCUGGGCUGGGCUGGGCGCUGGGGGCUGCAAUCCCCUUUGCUGGGCUCAGCACAGCCCCUGCCCACAGGUACAAGUGGCCCUGGGUACCUGCAGGCUCAGCAGGAGGAGCAGCCAAGGAGCACCUGAGGAGUUUCUGCUGGGGACACACACAUACACACAGACCCAGCUCUGAUGCAGAAAAUCCCAUAAUCACCCUCAGCUGCCAAGGAACAGCAUCAGCUCAGGCGCACGGCACUGACCUCAGCAAGGGCUGUGUCAUAAUCCGUUUUUCAGACUGGCCACAACUUCCAGUGCGAGGCAGAGCUGACAAAGGCAGAAGGGCAAAUCCUGGAGCCCAGCUGGCCGAGGCUGAGGGCGGCCAGCCAGCCAAACUCUGCCCUCCUCAUUGCCUGUUCCCGACUGAGUCCCGGGCAGAGCAGAGCUCUCUCAUCCCGCCGGGAUCCGGAGCUGGACGUGCUCUGCAGCUUACCCAGGCUGGGGAGGAAUCGCACCAAACCGUGCUCGUCCCUGGGCAUUUAGUUUUAUUGCGAGCAUUAGCGGUUUGUCUCCUCUGGCAACAGGAGAAGCUGGAAAUGUCAAAGGGGAGGGUUAACAAACUCCGCUG